Molecule: ribosomal RNA, 519 nt
Filed under: uncultured bacterium
Lineage: Bacteria
Description: bacterial SSU rRNA
Rfam family: Bacterial small subunit ribosomal RNA
Source: RNAcentral
GCGAACUUUCCAGAGAUGGAUUGGUGCCUUCGGGAACGCUGAGACAGGUGCUGCAUGGCUGUCGUCAGCUCGUGUUGUGAAAUGUUGGGUUAAGUCCCGNAACGAGCGCAACCCUUUAUCCUUUGUUGCCAGCGAUUCGGUCGGGAACUCAAAGGAGACUGCCGGUGAUAAACCGGAGGAAGGUGGGGAUGACGUCAAGUCAUCAUGGCCCUUACGAGUAGGGCUACACACGUGCUACAAUGGCGCAUACAAAGAGAAGCGACCUCGCGAGAGCAAGCGGACCUCAUAAAGUGCGUCGUAGUCCGGAUCGGAGUCUGCAACUCGACUCCGUGAAGUCGGAAUCGCUAGUAAUCGUGGAUCAGAAUGCCACGGUGAAUACGUUCCCGGGCCUUGUACACACCGCCCGUCACACCAUGGGAGUGGGUUGCAAAAGAAGUAGGUAGCUUAACCUUCGGGAGGGCGCUUACCACUUUGUGAUUCAUGACUGGGGUGAAGUCGUAACAAGGUAAGCGUAGCGAG